This 73-nucleotide transfer RNA is filed under the name Cronartium ribicola 11-2. RNAcentral describes it as "tRNA-Val (GAC) (tRNA-Val-GAC-34-1)". It matches the Rfam family "tRNA". From Rfam's summary of the family: Transfer RNA (tRNA) molecules are approximately 80 nucleotides in length. Their secondary structure includes four short double-helical elements and three loops (D, anti-codon, and T loops). Lineage: Eukaryota; Fungi; Basidiomycota; Pucciniomycetes; Pucciniales; Coleosporiaceae. The record is from RNAcentral.
AACUGGAUAGCCUAGUGGUAAAGGCAUGACAUUGACAAUGCUGAGGUCCCAGGUUCAAAUCCUGGUCUAGUCA